CCUACGGGAGGCAGCAGUGGGGGAUAUUGCACAAUGGGGGAAACCCUGAUGCAGCGACGCCGCGUGGGUGAAGAAGCGCCUCGGCGCGUAAAGCUCUGUUCGCAGGGAAGAAAAUGACGGCACCUGCAGAAGAAGCCCCGGCUAACUACUUGCCAGCAGCCGCGGUAAUACGUAGGGGGCAAGCGUUAUCCGGAUUUACUGGGUGUAAAGGGGGCGCAGACGGCGAUGCAAGCCAGGAGUGAAAGCCCAGGGCCCAACCCCGGGACUGCUCUUGGAACUGCGUGGCUAGAGUGCAGGAGGGGCAGGCGGAAUUCCUGGUGUAGCGGUGAAAUGCGUAGAUAUCAGGAGGAACACCAGUGGCGAAGGCGGCCUGCUGGACUGCAACUGACGUUGAGGCCCGAAAGCGUGGGGAGCAAACAGGAUUAGAUACCCGAGUAGUC
Molecule: ribosomal RNA, 440 nt
Filed under: uncultured bacterium
Lineage: Bacteria
Description: partial 16S ribosomal RNA
Rfam family: Bacterial small subunit ribosomal RNA
Source: RNAcentral